This 222-nucleotide ribosomal RNA is filed under the name Triticum aestivum (bread wheat). Its description in RNAcentral is "partial small subunit ribosomal RNA". Lineage: Eukaryota; Viridiplantae; Streptophyta; Magnoliopsida; Poales; Poaceae. The record is from RNAcentral.
AUGGAAAGUUAUUGUAAUGCAUCGGGCCAGAGGAUAAACCUUGCAAAGUCCUCUGUUUUCUUCAGCAAGGGAUGCCCCAUUCCACUCGGAGAAGAGGUAAAGGAGGCCCUAAAUAUCACGAAUGAAUCCUUGACAGAGAGAUAUCUGGGAAUGCCUUCGGAUGUGGGUACAAGCAAGAAUGGGGCUUUCAAAUUUUUGAAGGACAGGGUUUGGGCCAAGAUA